UUCAAUGAUGAUUUAACAAAAACAAAGCUGGAAUUACUGGCUGAUAUCUUUAUGAUUGAAAAAGUUUUUGCACCAUACGCUCCUGAUU
Molecule: small nucleolar RNA, 88 nt
Filed under: Candida tropicalis MYA-3404
Lineage: Eukaryota; Fungi; Ascomycota; Pichiomycetes; Serinales; Debaryomycetaceae
Source: RNAcentral